Molecule: unclassified non-coding RNA, 363 nt
Filed under: Hevea brasiliensis (rubber tree)
Lineage: Eukaryota; Viridiplantae; Streptophyta; Magnoliopsida; Malpighiales; Euphorbiaceae
Source: RNAcentral
UGUGUUUGCGUCUCUCUCGCAAACCCUUCCAUUCGAUCCAAUCCGAGAAGUCUAUGUAAAUCUUUAUGUAAUUGGGGGAAAUCUAGGGUUUUUGGUUUUGAUUUUUGUUUCCUUUUUUUGUGUUGUGUUUGUGAAUUGUUGAUUGGAGAUUGUUGUUGUUGGGAUGUUGGGGUUUGUGGGGGCUUGCAGAUCUGAAUAAGGUUUCGUGUGAAGUGGGCGUUUUAUUUGGUAAAUUUCAAAGAUGUUUUGGCGUAUGGCAGGGCUAUCCACGGCGUCGCCGGUGGAGACAAUUUUGGAUAAGGAAAACUUUACACUGGAGGAGCUUCUUGACGAGGAUGAAAUUAUUCAAGAAUGCAAAGCCCU